GUAGGGAAUAUUGGGCAAUGGAUGCAAGUCUGACCCAGCCAUCCCGCGUGCCGGAAGAAGGCCCUCAGGGUUGUAAACGGCUUUUGACGGUGAAGAAUCGACAGGAUGCGUCCUGUUUUGACGGUAGCCGUUGAAUAAGCACCGGCUAACUCCGUGCCAGCAGCCGCGGUAAUACGGAGGGUGCGAGCGUUGUCCGGAUUUAUUGGGUUUAAAGGGUGCGUAGGCUGGAAGGUCAGUCAGCGGUGAAAAGCUGUCGCUUAACGAUAGUCUUGCCGCAGAUACUUCCUUUCUUGGAUGAGGAGGAGGCCACUGGAACGGAUGGUGUAGCGGUGAAAUGCGUAGAGAUUUGGAAGAACACCAGUGGCGAAGGCGACUUUCUGGACGAUGUCUGACGCUGAGGCGCGAAAGCUAGGGGAGCGAACGGGAUUAGAUACCCUUGUAGUCC
This 445-nucleotide ribosomal RNA is filed under the name uncultured bacterium. RNAcentral describes it as "partial 16S ribosomal RNA". It matches the Rfam family "Bacterial small subunit ribosomal RNA", at positions 354 to 796 of the family's 1533-position model. The record is from RNAcentral.